UACGUAGGGGGCAAGCGUUGUCCGGAAUCAUUGGGCGUAAAGAGCGUGUAGGCGGUCUGGUAAGUCCGCUGUGAAAGUCCAGGGCUCAACCCUGGAAUGCCGGUGGAAACUGUCAGGCUCGAGUCCGGAAGAGGCGAGUGGAAUUCCUGGUGUAGCGGUGAAAUGCGCAGAUAUCGGGAGGAACACCGAUGGCGAAGGCGGUUCUCUGGGCCUUAACUGACGCUGAGGAGCGAAAGCGUGGGGAGCGAACAGG
This 253-nucleotide ribosomal RNA is filed under the name uncultured bacterium. RNAcentral describes it as "partial 16S ribosomal RNA". It matches the Rfam family "Bacterial small subunit ribosomal RNA", at positions 524 to 776 of the family's 1533-position model. The record is from RNAcentral.